This 305-nucleotide ribosomal RNA is filed under the name uncultured bacterium. RNAcentral's name for it is "bacterial SSU rRNA". It matches the Rfam family "Bacterial small subunit ribosomal RNA", at positions 335 to 657 of the family's 1533-position model. The record is from RNAcentral.
UUUCCUACGGGGCGCAGCAGUGGGGAAUAUUGCGCAAUGGGGGAAACCCUGACGCAGCAACGCCGCGUGCGGGAUGAAGGCUUUCGGGUUGUAGACUCCUUUUGUUAGAGAAGAUAAUGACGGUAUCUAACGAAUAAGCACCGGCUAACUCCGUGCCAGCAGCCGCGGUAAUACGGAGGGUGCAAGCGUUACUCGGAAUCACUGGGCGUAAAGAGCGCGUAGGCGGGAUAGCAAGUCAGAUGUGAAAUCCUAUGGCUUAACCAUAGAACUGCAUUUGAAACUGUUAUUCUAGAGUAUGGGAGAGG